This 84-nucleotide microRNA precursor is filed under the name Bombyx mori (domestic silkworm). Its description in RNAcentral is "mir-2807 microRNA precursor family". It matches the Rfam family "mir-2807 microRNA precursor family". Lineage: Eukaryota; Metazoa; Arthropoda; Insecta; Lepidoptera; Bombycidae. The record is from Rfam by way of RNAcentral.
UUAACUCAAAUUUGUAUGGAGCUGGAACGUUUGCCUACGUUUACCGCUAGGGGCGCUGUUCCAACUUCAUACAAAUUUAAGUUA